UAAAGGGAGCGUAGACGGGAGAUUAAGUCAGUUGUGAAAGGCUGCGGCUCAACCGCAGCACUGCAGUUGAUACUGGUUUCCUUGAGUGCGGUUGAGGUAUGUGGAAUUCGUGGUGUAGCGGUGAAAUGCUUAGAUAUCACGAAGAACUCCGAUUGCGAAGGCAGCAUACUAAGCCGUAACUGACGUUGAGGCUCGAAAGUGUGGGUAUCAAACAGGAUUAGAUACCCCGGUAGUCCACACGGUAAACGAUGAAUACUCGCUGUUGGCGAUACAAUGUCAGCGGCCAAGCGAAAGCAUUAAGUAUUCCACCUGGGGAGUACGCCGGCAACGGUGAAACUCAAAGGAAUUGACGGGGGCCCGCACAAGCGGAGGAACAUGUGGUUUAAUUCGAUGAUACGCGAGGAACCUUACCCGGGCUUAAAUUGCAGAGGACAGGCUCAGAGAUGGGCUCUUCUUCGGACCUCUGUGAAGGUGCUGCAUGGUUGUCGUCAGCUCGUGCCGUGAGGUGUCGGCUUAAGUGCCAUAACGAGCGCAACCCUUGCCGUUAGUUACUAACAGGUCAUGCUGAGGACUCUAGCGGGACUGCCACCGUAAGAUGUGAGGAAGGUGGGGAUGACGUCAAAUCAGCACGGCUCUUACGUCCGGGGCUACACACGUGUUACAAUGGGAGGUACAGAAGGCUGCUACCCGGCGACGGGA
RNAcentral lists this ribosomal RNA (699 nucleotides) under uncultured Bacteroidota bacterium. RNAcentral's name for it is "bacterial SSU rRNA". It matches the Rfam family "Bacterial small subunit ribosomal RNA", at positions 561 to 1265 of the family's 1533-position model. Lineage: Bacteria; Pseudomonadati; Bacteroidota. The record is from RNAcentral.